Syngnathus typhle (broad-nosed pipefish) is the source of this 1565-nucleotide long non-coding RNA. RefSeq lists it as uncharacterized. NCBI's taxonomy places the organism in Eukaryota, Metazoa, Chordata, Actinopteri, Syngnathiformes, Syngnathidae. The transcript is spliced from 3 exons. The record is from RefSeq and is a predicted model, not a curated record.
UGUCCUCGCACAGUUUUUCAUUUCUGGCGCUGUGCUGCUGGAUCUGCGCUUGGAUUUCUGUAAGUGACGUCUGGAAGUGAGCAGCCAUCUCCGAUCGCUUCUCCUCGUCCUCACGACAGCGGCGCAGGGCUUCGUCCUUUGGCAGCCAAAGACGUCUCACCAGCUCGGCGUGUUUCCUCAUCAAAUGGUCAAGUUUUUCCUCAGAAGAUGACAAAGCGCUCAGACUGUCUGCAACACAAGCAACCUCUACAAGCACAACCGUCGGGACAACGGCGACAUUGAGAAAGGACCAGCGCCUUUGGAGCAGCUUAGCGGUGACUCUCAUUCCUCCCGACAUGCACGAACGAGUUGUUGUCCGAGCUUGUCAAUGGACUUGGUGGUAGUAGCGGCUGCGUGUAUGCUCGUGUGUGUGUGUGUGUGUGUGUGUGUGUGUGUGUGUGUCCUAUUUUGGCAGGAAAAUGACCACAGGAGUCUGUAUGGAAAUUCCUGAGAGCCAAGAUGCCGCGGAUCUCCGUUCACAACGGCGUCCAGACAAGUAGGCGCUGGCAACGAGAGCUGACGUAGACCUGCGUUUGUUAGCCGGAUGAGCCAUCCGCCGCAGAUGCUGUCUCGGACGUGGAGGAGGAACCGUCGCGCGCGGCAGCAGAAGAGCGCAACAGGAGAUCGAGACCAAAGCGCAACCCCGCGCCAGUCGAGGACAACAGAGAUGCCGGUCGUUAGCGACGAUAACGUGCGGAGAAAUGAGAGCCGCCCGCCGCUGCAAACGGCAAGUCACGCCGACGACGUCCACGCGGUGGCACCUGACUGGACGCCGGUCGUGAUGUCACGGUGCGCGUCCGCCUCCAUCUGAAACUGUCCCAUGACACGCCACUUUGACCACUGUGAGGCCAUCACGCUUGACGCUAACAUCACAAGGGCUAACCUGAGCCUUGGCGCUGACAAUCUCGUUCAGUCUCCUGCCGAACUCCUCCAUGGGGUCGGCCGCUUCCCCGUCUCGCGGGCGAGGCGCUAACACCUCGGUGGCUUUCACCGACAUCACGGGAGCGCUGAGGAGGAAAUAGCAAUGGAGUCACGUGCGCGUGGCCCGCGCACCAGCGAGGUGGCGACAGUAGCCGACAAGAGCCAAGCUAAAUUAGGAAAUCUGUCGGUGCUCGGCACGAUGAAACAUGACAGCUGCAGCUGUUUGGCCACCACAAUAAGUACGACACACGCCAGCCGACUCUCUUGACCAGGAGCUUUCAUGUCAACUUUUGCAGGGCCGCUUGACAGCAAAUCUGAGCUAUUCCACAAAAAGUAUUUCCCCAAAAGCCUUUCACAGUUAUCCAAUGCAAAUUCGGAGCAGUUCAGAACACAAGCGUCUCUAAAGAAAUGGCCAGCCGGUCGUCUCUCAUCUCUCUGCAGGAUGUGUUUUUUUUGCCACCUCAGAAUUACAUCUCGCCGAAGGUUGUCACGAGCCCGAGCUAUGUCAUUGUAACAGUAAUCGAUGAUAAUCAGAGUCAGGUUCGCGUAUAAAGUUAUUUUCUGUGCUACCCGUAAAGUAAGUAAACUCACUUGUACAAACUGAA